This 508-nucleotide ribosomal RNA is filed under the name uncultured bacterium. RNAcentral describes it as "partial 16S ribosomal RNA". It matches the Rfam family "Bacterial small subunit ribosomal RNA", at positions 29 to 523 of the family's 1533-position model. The record is from RNAcentral.
AUUGAACGCUGGCGGCAUGCCUUACACAUGCAAGUCGGACGGCAGCGGGGGAGAAGCUUGCUUUUCCUGCCGGCGAGUGGCGAACGGGUGAGUAAUACAUCGGAACGUGCCCUGUAGUGGGGGAUAACUAGUCGAAAGAUUAGCUAAUACCGCAUACGACCUGAGGGUGAAAGUGGGGGGCCGCAAGGCCUCAUGCUAUAGGAGCGGCCGAUGUCUGAUUAGCUAGUUGGUGGGGUAAAGGCCGACCAAGGCGACGAUCAGUAGCUGGUCCGAGAGGACGAUCAGCCACACUGGGACUGAGACACGGCCCAGACUCCCACGGGAGGCAGCAGUGGGGAAUUUUGGACAAUGGGCGAAAGCCUGAUCCAGCAAUGCCGCGUGUGUGAAGAAGGCCUUCGGGUUGUAAAGCACUUUUGUCCGGAAAGAAAUGGCUCUGGUUAAUACCUGGGGUCGAUGACGGUACCGGAAGAAUAAGGACCGGCUAACUACGUGCCAGCAGCCGCAGUAA